CAAGAAAGUGACAGAAUGAAUGAUAGGAUCAUUUUAGUUUAACUAAAAUGAUGAAUCCAGCCAGUGUGUUUAAUAGGAGGAUCCCUCAGAUGCCACUGAUUUUCUACUGGUAAACCUUGACAGAAAUCUUAAAGUGAUAAUAUAGGAACAAGAACAACUUUAGCUUAAUGAAGUACUGCCAAGUUAUUUGCCACCUCCCCUGGUAUUGAAUCAUAUGCUCCACAAAAAAAAAAAAAAAAAAAAUUCCAAUUAGAUAACUUUUUAAAUUUGAUCUCAUACACUAAAUUGAACUUUAAAUCACACACUGGUGGCUCUGGAAUGCUAUUAACAGAGCAGGGGAUACA
Molecule: non-coding RNA, 344 nt
Organism: Pelobates cultripes (western spadefoot toad)
Lineage: Eukaryota; Metazoa; Chordata; Amphibia; Anura; Pelobatidae
Source: the annotation of a GenBank genome assembly